RNAcentral lists this long non-coding RNA (1252 nucleotides) under Marmota monax (woodchuck). Lineage: Eukaryota; Metazoa; Chordata; Mammalia; Rodentia; Sciuridae. The record is from RNAcentral.
GCUGCUUCUGUGAUAUCUGCAUUUGAGUUUCCAUUUAUUGAGAAAAACAUAAUAACAAGAAGCUUCAGUAAAGCUUUUAAAUAAUUGGUAACUUAUAAAUAUUACAGCAGUAUCUGUAGAUAUUUGAGAAGUUGCAGGAGACUUUUUAGUUGAUGUGGGGACCAUGCCGUGUGCUGCCCACACAUGUUAUACACUUCCCAGAAUGGUGAAGUCUUGAGGCUUGAUUGUCAAGGACCUGAGAGUUGCUGCCAGUUCUCUCUUAGCCUUGCUAACAUCAGAAGCUGUGCCUGUCCAUUCAUUCCAUGUUUACGAAUACCUCCACACCAGGUAGUGUGCCACAAAGAUUCCAGGAAUACCACCCAUAUGGAGAAACAGGAUCUCUCUUCUCUAGAAGAGCGUAGGGUGUAGUUAGAGGGAGUCAGUCAUGUAAACAAAUAUGUCCUGGUGUGCUUCUAGUGACCUGAUGGAAUUCGGUAUCUGAGAUGGAGAGAGGUAGGAAGUAGGUGGGCAUCAGGAAAGCCAUCUUAGAGAAAGUAGCCCUUGAUUAUCAGCCAGGUAGAUGGACGGGUGAUUUAAGAUUUGUCUCAAAUUUGACAUUAUGCUUCACAGAGCAGUAAAGUGAAACCUGUUCAUUCCUACACAUUGUUGGUAGGAGAAUAAAAUGGCACAGCCUCUUUAGAGAGCAAUCUGGCAGCAUCUGUGAAAAUUUAAAUCACGAAUCCUUCUUGCAUUUGUGCUAAACAGACACUGGGAAGACAUUGUGUGUCAGACAAAUGCCAAGUAUAGAAUAGCAUGACCUAGCUCCUCCAAUCCUGUUUGUUUAUCCAACACACACAAAACACACACACAACACACACACACACCAUUAUUAUAACAUCAAAAUAUGGGAAUAAACUAAAUAUCCAUCAGUGGAAGAACAGUUAAAUAUAUGAUGCAUACAGGUGAUGUAAAGCUAAUAAAAGAAGCAGCCGUCUCCACUGUGCUAAGGAGGAGCAGUCCCCAGGAUGUAUUGAGUGAAAACAUCAAGGAGGAGGUCAGUUCCUACUACUUGCUCUCCUUCAUGCUUCAGAAAGCAGAGUGGGGCAGGAACCAGAUACUCCCUCCCCAGAAGGCUGCACCAGCAGUAGGUCACAGUGGUAGCUCUGCCAUGACACUAAGGGACAGGCAUGUUCUGAUCGAAUUUUUUUUUAACAUGUAGUUUAUUAUCUAUUCAAUUUUUUUUUUUAAUGUGUAAUUUUUUAAUUAAAAAUUU